This 690-nucleotide ribosomal RNA is filed under the name uncultured bacterium. RNAcentral's name for it is "bacterial SSU rRNA". It matches the Rfam family "Bacterial small subunit ribosomal RNA", at positions 137 to 822 of the family's 1533-position model. The record is from RNAcentral.
UGCCUGAAUAACUACUGGAAACGGUAGCUAAUACCGCAUAACGUCGCAAGACCAAAGAGGGGGACCUUCGGGCCUCUUGCCAUCGGAUGUGCCCAGAUGGGAUUAGCUUGUUGGUGGGGUAACGGCUCACCAAGGCGACGAUCCCUAGCUGGUCUGAGAGGAUGACCAGCCACACUGGAACUGAGACACGGUCCAGACUCCUACGGGAGGCAGCAGUGGGGAAUAUUGCACAAUGGGCGCAAGCCUGAUGCAGCCAUGCCGCGUGUAUGAAGAAGGCCUUCGGGUUGUAAAGUACUUUCAGCGGGGAGGAAGGGAGUAAAGUUAAUACCUUUACUCAUUGACGUUACCCGCAGAAGAAGCACCGGCUAACUCCGUGCCAGCAGCCGCGGUAUACGGAGGGUGCAAGCGUUAAUCGGAAUUACUGGGCGUAAAGCGCACGCAGGCGGUUUGUUAAGUCAGAUGUGAAAUCCCCGGGCUCAACCUGGGAACUGCAUCUGAUACUGGCAAGCUUGAGUCUCGUAGAGGGGGGUAGAAUUCCAGGUGUAGCGGUGAGAUGCGUAGAGAUCUGGAGGAAUACCGGUGGCGAAGGCGGCCCCCUGGACGAAGACUGACGCUCAGGUGCGAAAGCGUGGGGAGCAAACAGGAUUAGAUACCCUGGUAGUCCACGCCGUAAACGAUGUCGACGUGGAG